This 440-nucleotide ribosomal RNA is filed under the name uncultured bacterium. Its description in RNAcentral is "partial 16S ribosomal RNA". The record is from RNAcentral.
GACUACAGGGGUAUCUAAUCCCGUUUGCUCCCCUGGCUUUCGUGUCUCAGCGUCAGCUCAUCCCCAGCGACCUGUUUUCACCUUUGGCGUUCCAGACGAUAUCUACGCAUUUCACCGCUCCACCGUCUGUUCCAGUCGCCCCUAGAUGGCUCAAGAUCGCCAGUAUGCCAAGCAGUUCCCCGGUUGAGCCGAGGGAUUUCACAAAGCACUUAACGAUCCGCCUACACACGCUUUAAGCCCAGUGAUUCCGCCUAACGCUUGUGGCCUCUGUCUUACCGCGGCUGCUGGCACAGAGUUAGCCGCCACUUCCUCUGGGGCUCCUCAGAACUUGGUAACCCCUGACAGGAGUUUACAUCCCGAAGGACUUCAUCCUCCACGCGGCGUCGCUCGGUCACGCUUGCGCGCAUUGCCGAAGAUUCCUUACUGCAGCCUCCCGUAGG